AUCAAUGGGGACAUUGGGACAUUGGGGGACAUUGAGGACAUUGGGGGACAUUGGGGACACCAUUGGGGACAUCAAUGGGGACAUUGGGACAUUGGGACAUUGGGGACAGCAUUGGGGACAUCAUUGGGACAUUGGGACAUUGGGGACAGCAGUGGGGACAUCAUUGGGGACAUCAUUGGGACAUUGGGGACAUCAUUGGGGACAUUGGGACAUUGGGGACAUCAUUGGGGACACCAUUGGGGACAUUGGGGACAUUGGGGGACACUGAGGACAUUGAGGACAUUGUCACCAAACCCCCCAGAUGCCACCAAACCCCCUGAGAUGUCACCUCCAGGUGCCACCAAACCCCCUGAGGUGUCACCUCCCGGUGUCCCCCCGCCCCUGGGGACAGCGCGGGGUGGCACCGACCUUCUCGGUGACGUACUGGCACGUCUUGAGGUCGUGGUCACCGUCAGGGAGGAUCUCGGGCUCCACGAUGGGGACAAUGCCGUUCUGGGGACACGGUGGGGACAUGUCAGCCACCAGGGGACAUUUGGGGACAUCGGGGACAUUGGGGACAGCGGGGACAUCGGGGACAUGUCAGCAACCAGGGGACAUCGGGGACAGUGGGGACAUUGGGGACAUUGGGGACAGCAGGAGGGGAGCCCAGGGCACUGAGAUGCCACCAAAGCCUCUCCAGAUGAACCAAACCCAGCCUGGGUGUCACCAAACAUCCCUAAGUGUCACCAAACCCUCUCUAGAUGCCACCAAACCUGGUCCAGAUGCCACCAAACCCUCUCGAGAUGGACCAAACUCUCUCCAGAUGCCACCAAACCCUCUCUAGAUGGACCAAACCAUCCCUAGGUGGCACCAAACUCCUUCCAGAUGGCACCAAACCCCCUCUAGAUGCCACCAAACCCUGUCCAGAUGCCACCAAACCUUCUCCAGGCGCCACGAGACAUGGUCUAGAUGUCACCAAAUGUGGUCUAGAUCCCUUAAACCCUCUCCAGAUGUCUCCAAACCCUCUCUGGUGCCACCAGAUCUGGUCUAGAUGCCACCAAACCAUCCCUAAGUGCCACCAAACCCCCUCCAGAUGCCACCAAACCCUCUACAAGUGACACCAAACCCAGCCCAGAUGGACCAAACUCUCUCCAAGUGUCACCAAACCUGGUCUAGAUGCCACCAAAUGUGGUCUAGAUCCCUUAAACCCCCUCCAGAUGCCACCAAACCCUUCCUAGAUGUCCCCAAACCCCCUCCAGAUGCCACCAAACCCUCUCUAGAUGGACCAAACCAUCCCUAGGUGGCACCAAACCCUCUCCAGGUGCCACCAAACCUGGUCUAGAUGUCCCCAAACCCCCUCUAGAUGCCACCAAACCAUCCUUAAGUGCCACCAAACCCCCUCCAGAUGCCACCUGUUGGUGUCCCCUGCCCUGCCGCUCCCUGCCCGCCCCCUUGGGGACAGUUGGGGACAGUUGGGGACAGUUGGGGACAGUUGGGGACAGUGUGUGACAGUUUUGGUGACAUUGGUGACCUGCUGGCAGAUGCUGCCGUAGCGCGCCAGCACGUUGGCGUUCUCCAUGGAGCUGAGUCACCUCCUGGUGUCCCCAAACCCAGCCCAGAUGCCACCAAACCCCCUCCAAGUGCCACCAAACCUGGUCUAGAUGCCACCAAAUGUGGUCUAGAUCCCUUAAAUCCUCUCCAAGUGCCACCAAACCCUUCCUAGGUGCCACCAAACCCCCUCUAGAUGCCACCAAACCAUCCCU
Molecule: long non-coding RNA, 1742 nt
Filed under: Zonotrichia albicollis (white-throated sparrow)
Lineage: Eukaryota; Metazoa; Chordata; Aves; Passeriformes; Passerellidae
Description: lncRNA (ENSZALG00000002003.1)
Source: RNAcentral